This 556-nucleotide ribosomal RNA is filed under the name uncultured bacterium. Its description in RNAcentral is "partial 16S ribosomal RNA". It matches the Rfam family "Bacterial small subunit ribosomal RNA", at positions 355 to 900 of the family's 1533-position model. The record is from RNAcentral.
UAGGGAAUCUUCCACAAUGGACGCAAGUCUGAUGGAGCAACGCCGCGUGAGUGAAGAAGGUUUUCGGACCGUAAAGCUCUGUUGUUGGUGAAGAAGGAUAGAGGUAGUAACUGGCCUUUAUUUGACGGUAAUCAACCAGAAAGUCACGGCUAACUACGUGCCAGCAGCCGCGGUAAUACGUAGGUGGCAAGCGUUGUCCGGAUUUAUUGGGCGUAAAGCGAGCGCAGGCGGAAGAAUAAGUCUGAUGUGAAAGCCCUCGGCUUAACCGAGGAAUUGCAUCGGAAACUGUUUUUCUUGAGUGCAGAAGAGGAGAGUAGAACUCCAUGUGUAGCGGUGGAAUGCGUAGAUAUACGGAAGAAUACCAGUGGCGAAGGCGGCUCUCUGGUCUGCAACUGACGCUGAGGCUCGAAAAGCAUGGGUAGCGAACAGGAUUAGAUACCCUGGUAGUCCAUGCCGUAAACGAUGAGUGCUAAGUGUUGGGAGGCUUCCGCCUCUCAGUGCUGCAGCUAACGCAUUAAGCACUCCGCCUGGGGGAGUACGACCGCAAGGUUGAAAC